GAAGUCAGCAUAAUCUGGGUCUGAACCAGAUGUCCUGCUUCUGUAGCUCUGGGACACUGGAGCCUGGACAGCUGUGAGAUUUGGGGAUGUCAAAUACCCCAAGUACCUCCUUGAAGGAAAUGUUUAACAACUCGCUGUUUAAAUGAGGAGUUGAGAGAGCAGCUAGGGAAGGCAUUUUGGCUCUGCAUUCUGAAAAACUGACUUGUCUCAAAAUCUCUCCAUGUUCUUGUUGGUCUUUCUACUUUUUGGAUUUCAAGCAGAUGGCAGGGUCUUAUUUGGGGGCAGAUAUAAUUUUUAGCUUUGGGUUUGUUUCUGGAGAAGCCUAGAGCCAGAUGUAGUGGUCUUGGGGAAUUGGAAAGCCCCUCCCUCGACCUUCUCUACUUCUCUAAUACAUACCAGGAGAAAGGACUCAGAAGAAAUGGUUGGUACCUCCUCUUAGGGCAGGCAGAGAAUCAAAUAUGACAUCAGCACAGAUCAAACCUUAAGGGGCCAAUGGCCCAGAGCGGUUUUGCAGUGUUUUGAGCGGAGCCAAUACCACAAGACCAUGCAGAGAGCCUGUCCCAGGUUUCAUUGGUCUGUGCAGCAGAUAGAACAGCCAUCGGGUGGACCGCUUGCCCACAGUCCUUCCUGUUCUCCCCACAUGGUUUGCUCCGGAACUUUCUCAUCAAGCACCUCUUCAUCACAGGAGGUGGGAAAGACCAGAUGACAAGCAGAAGGUGUGCUGUGUCUUUGUCUGGUCAUUCUGCAAAGAAAAUGGGACCCUUACCUCUUCUGCUUCUGGUAAGAUUUUUGCCCUAUCUUGGGAGGGGAGGUAGUGGGAGCACUUCUUGCUGAGUCAGCACCAACUGCGUGUAGUAAGGAACGCUCAGCUACUAGCAAUAAUGUCUUGGACUCAAUUUUUCUGCCAAGGUCAGUUGAAAGCUGUAAGGGUGGCUGGGUGGACCAACCUCAGCCCUGGUUCCUUUGAAUACAAUAACUGGAAAAGUUCAUCCUUCAGCCCUGCUCCCUCCCCUUUCUCGCCGAAACUUCAGUUUUCUGGGCUGAGCCCCCAGGCAGAAAUUCUGUUCUCCUUCCUUCUUGAGCUGGAUGCUGGCAUUGCCAAGUUCUGCCGGGGCUGAGCGCCAGGUUGGCAAGGUAGCCCAUGCCCCUUGAUCAGAACCAGCUGGGCGUACAGAAGUUGGGCAGCGUCUUCCCAGGUUCGUUUCCCUCUAACGACUUUUACUUACAGACACCUCAGUUCUGUACCCAAAGACAGUCACAGCCACCUUGUCCCAGCCCAGCUUCCUCUCCUAGGGAGUCUCAGAGAAUCCCAGUAUAGUAGAGAGUUGAGGGAAGCGGAACCAGAAAGGACAGGGUUCUUUCAAAAACACAGUUUUUAGAUCCUUUUGGGAGAAGCAGGUGCCUGGGAAGGGCAGGAGACUCAGGAUGCGGGCUCAGAUGAGACAGAGCCAGCGCCUCUGCUGUAAAUUGGAAGGGAUUUAAGGAUUGGGAAGUAGGAAGCCGGGGUGGCAGAAGUUAAUGGAGUUACUGCUGUUUCUCAGAAAGAAGAAAGUCCCCUUCGGGGUUGGGCUUGGGAACCCGAGGGAUUUUUCUCUCCCAAUGGGAAAGGAAGAAUUGAAAACCUCCGGGAAGCAAUAGAUUGUUAGAGGAAGCAAUAGAUUGUUAGACAGGGUCUGCGGAAGGCUCUCGAGUCCUACCUGCAGGUCCGUCCCAUAGAAGGCAGCCAUGGACGCAUCAGCCACCAGAAGUAUUUCCACGAAGCGAGCCUCGGAUACAAAUCUCUUGCUCCUAGUUUUGGAUCCGAAGGGUGGUGUCACUUCGCGGGAGUCUUCUGUCUCUUUGCGCAACCCCUCUUUGUCCCGCUCCCUGUCCUCUUCGUUGUCACGUCUUCUCUGUCCCUGCCCAUCACCCAUCUCCACCUCCCAUUCUAGUCCUUGAGGGAGGGGGAAGACCUCCGCGGCAGCGAGCCCGGGGUCCUCGCGGCGCUGUCCCGGCCCCCAGCGCUGCAGGCGAUGCGGCUGGUCCAGGGAGUCCCCAGCGCCCUGUGGCUGGAUGGUGAACUCCUCUCCAGCCAGCAAGAAUGAGCCGCUCAGCCCACCACACAGGCUCAUCGCCGCCAGCGACUCCCGCUCUCCAUUCACUGUGCCAGAGAAGAAGCAGCCGCGCAGCCCCGGCUCGCCCCCGGCCGCCGCGCUCGAGCCCCCGAGUCGCUCGAUCUUGAACUCCGGCGCCAGGAAGCUGGCGUCCGGCGCCAGGCGCAGCACGAAGCUCUGGCCGAAGGCGGACAGGUGGAAGGCGAGCUCGCUCGCGCUGCUGGGCAACCGCGUGGGCACCACUAGCUCCGAGGCCUGCGUCCGGGUUCCCGGCCUCGCCGGGGCGCCGCAGACGAGUGGUGGCGGCGGCAGCUGCAAUAGCAGCAGCAGGAGGGGAGGCCACCGGGUGGCGGUGGGGUCGCGGAGCAUGGGGGCAGAGGGCUGCGGAGCGGGGGAGAGGGAAAAAGACUGCCGCGCUCGGGCAGGUGCUGGUGGCCCGAGGCGGCCGGGCCGCUCUGUCCAGGAAAAAUGAUCAAUCGGAUGAGGAGACCCACUCGGCCAGCGGCAGCAGGCGUGGCGGUCCCCUGGCGGCCCCUCUGGAUCGCGCAGCCCGCUCCUCCUGCGCCAGCCAAGCCAGCCAACCUACAGAACUCGAGCAGCUGGCGCCCCGGGCUGCGAGCGCGCGUCCUCCGCGGCGUCCCGUGCAGUCGCCUCCUUCCUCGGGAAACACCGAGUGGGCUGCCGAGCCCUUAGUAUUUAUACUUCCUUCCCGGCUUUGACAUAAGAGGUUUAUUUUUGAUCGCUCACUAUUCCCGUUUCCCCUCCCCUGGGGUCAGAGACAGAAACAGAAAAGGAGAGGAGGGGAAAAAAGGGAUGAAAUGUAAAACCAAUCAGGAGUCAGUGAGCCCCUCCCGACAGUUAAGUAGUUAAGUGUCAACUACAGCUUUUUUUCCCUUUCUACAUGACCACGUGAAGACCCACGCCAAUUCCUGUAAUGCUGGACACUCUCUGAAGGCAAGUCCUGGAUGGGAGAGACACUAGCUUCUUCUUGUGCUAGAGCUAGGUGCUGGGGACAGACACACUCUGCACUGGUCUCAGCGACAGUAUUCAGAUUCCUGUACAAACCUGGCAGUGUUAAAAGAGGUUUGUGGGGAAGGUUCUAAAGUCCUUAACGGUCAAAUACAAAGUGAGAGGUGGGAAAGUCAUACUGAAACCACACUGUCCAUUAAGAACCACCGCAGAACUUUAAGAAUGCCACUGGUCAAGGCUGGCAAGGACGCUUAAUGGCUUGCUUCUGAGCAUAGUGGGGUGAAAGGCUACCACCAGCAAGGCAAAAUAAAUUCAACACCACUAAUUUCCCAUUUCCUAUUGGUAGGAAGUACUUCACCAGUCUGCCUUCUGACAUACAGUUCUUCCAGUUGCCUUGGUGACAUGGGGAAAGGUGGCCAGGUCCCUUCGAUGGCAUUGCCCACAGCUCCAAAUACAUAUCAAUGUGUAAGAAGUUAACUCACUCUGCCAUACACCACACCUUCCUGCCGAAGAGAGUGGGAUCCAGGAAGAGUGAUGGCGGUCUUAAGACCACAGAACGCAACAUUUGUAUCCACUACAUUAUUAAGGGUGCAGGUCCAGAUUGAACUCAGAAUCAUGUUCUCUCAGUACCAGUACAAUUCCCAGGCCCCUGCCCUGCGUCCUUUCUGAGUGGCAAAUUACGGAGGGCACAGCACUUGGCAGCUAGCCUAUUCCCAACUACGACGCAGCUUUUUGCUUAUGUGGACAGAGGGUGCCUACAGCAGAGUCUUCUUUCCGUUUAGCCAGCCCAAUCCAUUUCUGUAGCUGUGAAGGAUUCCUUAGGGCUUGUUACCCACGAAGAGGAGGCUCUUAAAGUGACGUAUGUCACUACAGAACCUAGGGAAAGGCCCCGACACCCCAAGUUCUCUCCAUUUUAAUAGCAGUGCAAAGGAGCGGUUGAGAACCUUCAAGGUGCAGAAUCUCCUUCUUUUCCUAUACAGAGAACUGGAAGUUUGGGUGAAACACUCCUAGAGGCAGGGGAACGGGAAGCAUCUCUGCUUUUUACCAAAAAUGAGCAAGAUGCUCAUCCCUCAACAGUUUAAUAUCCCUGGGACAGUGUGACCUGUACAGUUAAAUGGGCAAUCCCAUUCGCCUCAGGGCUGUGGUGACAUUUCAAUUACUGGUCUUUGCUAUUAAGUUCCUUGUUCAUUAUUUUCCAGUUUGGAACUCUGUUGUUUUUUUCCUGGUUGUUUUUUUCUUUCUUGAUACAGGUUCUCACCGCAUAGUCCAGGCUGGCCUCAAACUUCUUAGCUUUUCACCUUCUAGACUUCUGAGUGCCGAGGUCACAGAUAAGUGCUGCGGCCUCACGCCUGGCUUUCAACUUUUGGUUUUCAAUAGUAGUUAGGCCCUUCACUUGAGCCUUCUUUCUCCUUUGUGACUAUCCUAUCCGAGAGCCCAGCUUCUCCUUUCUCCUUACAUGUUAGUAGCUAUAACCAGGCUGGGGAAAAUUAAAUGUCGCUUGUGUUUUCAUUUGGGAAAGCUCUGCAAACUGCAGCUGCUACUGUUGUAAAACAGAAAAACUGCCUUUGGAGACAGACACUGAACUGUGGACUUCAUCUCUGCCCCACUUUAUUAACAACCACAACUACAACCACACAAUAAUUGCUGUCUGGCAAACUAUCCUGGGAGCCGGCCUGGCUGCUAGGUAGAAACCUGCCGGCUUCAUCCUUGUGCCCUUAUGGUAACUUCCAGGGAUGUGCCUGCAGUUUGCAAUGCAGCCACAAGGUGUCAUCCGUACCUUAGUUAUGCUUAACCCAAGCCUUGCAGGGAUGGUGGGUGACUUGUAGAGAAGCCCCUGAGAAAUUUGGUGGGUGAAGUCCAUGCAGCAAAACAAACACUAUCCCAGCCCACCAGGGAAAAUCCCAAAUGGGUCGAUCGUGGACUUCCUACAUUGCCAUCUUGAGCCUCAAUAUAAUUGCCAAAAGGCUUGGCAAACUGUGGUGCCCGGACUAAGGCUGCUUUCAUAUAUUACACGGACUAAAUAAAAAUGUUUUAUGUAUUUUCAGUGGUAAAUAAACAAGUAAACUAUUACUAUUUCACGACGUUGAAAACGCCAUGAAAUCCAAACUUCCGUGUUUGGAAGAAAGUUUACUGGCCACAGACAUUCACAGGACCCUGGUUGCAUUUGAGCUGUAGAGGAUAUGGAAGAACGAGCUUAGAAUAUUUACUAUCUGGCUAUUUCUAGAAAGAGGUUGUUGACCAAAUGUAAAACAGCAUUGGUUUGAAUUUCUUAAAUUUGGAGCGUGGGAGAUAGAUGCCACCUAUAGGAUUCUUAGGAAGUAAGAAGCUCAAAAUAAUAUAUAUAUAUAUUUUGCUGUGAAUAUGAAUAGGAAAUUAUCUGAAAAGUUAAGAUGUCUUCAACUCUAUGUUUAACAGCUAUUCAUUAUUUAAUUGGCAUUUAAAUGAUUAAUUGCUUUUGUAUCGGCUUAAACUUUAGGCUUCACAUGCGCCCAUGAAGGUCAGAGGAAGGCAUGGGAUCCCCUGGAACUGGAGCUACAGAUAGUUGUAAGCUGCCAGAUGGGUGCUGGGAAUCAAAACUGAGGUCCCCUGGACGAGUGGCCGGUGUGUUUAAGGGCUGAUCUUUCUCUCUAGCUUCUUCAUUUUUCUUGACAUAUUCAUUUAUUUAUGUGUGUGUUUGUGUGAGUAUUUGUCCAUUUGCACAUAAUUCUACACAUGCAUGGAGACCAGAAGAAGGCCCUAGGUAUCCUGCCUUACCAUCCUCUGCCUAUUCUUUUGAGGCAGGUUCUCUCCCUGAGCCUGGGAUUUGCUUUUUCUUGACUAGGAUGGAAACCAGCAAAACCCAGAGAUUUUUUCCGUCUCCAUUUCUCUUGGAACUGGUUAUGGGGCUUGCAUGGGCACUCACGAAUAUACAGCACGCUCUCUCAACUGGUGCAUGGCUUUUGCAGCUCUGAAUGUUUGUUAUCUGAAGUUUUAAAUUAAUUCAUACUAUCUCUGCCUAUCACUAGUAAGAGACUUACCCCAUGCCUUUGUAGUGUGUACUAAGUUCUGGUGGUCUCUAGGCUUCCAGAUUCUUUCAAAACCGGGUGAGACACUAGUGGCCAACUAAUCCACUUCCGCUUGCAUUUUGAAGAAGAGGGCAAACGCAAACUUACCCAGAGUUGUGUACAUGAUGGUGGCUUUCCUGCCGUAAAGGCUAUGGUCCCUUCUACAGGGAGACAGAGAUUCCUUUGUAAUUUGUGUUUCUCCAUUAACACUGAGUUUCAACUGUGGGUGAGGCUUUGUCUUGUGUGUCCACUUUCACUGACUUGGUCUCAUUUGCUCCUUAGUGGUGAUAGCUACUCUCUUUUGAGUGCUUGCAGUUGCUAAAUGCUGACCUGAGGGGGCGGGGAGGGUUACACAGGUGAUGUGCAGGCUUGGGGUACUUGUGUAAAGUGCUUACGGUUCCUUGGGUAACACUCGGGAGAUACAGGAUUCUUCACAUGUGCAAACUGCUAAUCAUUGUUUUGGGAAGAACAUCUCACACAGAGUUAAGCCAUCAUAUUAUAGAACUAGAGAGGAAUGUUGGGAUACAAUAGACCAAUGGACCAAUGUCCUUCUUUGGGAGGAUGCUUAAAAGUCUCUCUCUCUCUCUCUCUCUCUCUCUCUCUCUCUCUCUCUCUCUCUCUCUCAUCUGGCCCUUCUGUCAAGGUUUCAAAGAAAGAAAGAAAAUGGCUCCUCUCAAAGUCCAGCCACAGCCCUUAAAUAUACAUACAUAAGCAAAGUUCACUCUUUUUAAACCUUUAUGUGCCAUAAGUAAGUUCAUUUUCUGUUAUUUAGACUAUCAUGAGGUGGCCACAACUCCACCUAACAGUCACUGGAGAAAGGGCUUCACAGUGCCUCUCUGUCCUGCCAUGGAACACGCAUCUCAGGCAUGCCUCAAUCCAUUUCCAGCAUCGAUUUCGCAUCGACUCACACCUGUUUUCUCCCGUACACAGGCUUCAGUGUUCGUCCGUCACGUGUAAGAGAGGCUCCACCGGUACCUCUAGCUUCUCGGUCCUUUCUUAGUCCCAAGUGAAACCUCUGGGAUAAAACUCAGUAUUUCCAGAACCAUUUGUUCAUGUGCUCAAGUCGGCCGUGGCAGAGAACCAGUUCUUCUGAUUAAUCCCUGCUCUCAUCUGGCUUCUGUGGUGUGCUCGGACAGUGUUCACAGCCAUGCUUCCGGUUGUGUUAUGGCUAUCACCGGGAAGCAGACUAGCAUGAACGACCUUAUGUAAAAGAAUAUCCCAUCACAGAAGAAUUUGAAGUCUCCUGAUUUUAGUCAUAAUGAGUGACUACAGAGGAGUGCCGCAGUUUACAUGAACUCACUGAGAACAUGAAGCUGACUUUUGUUUGUCUUAAAGGUGAUUGGGAAAGGGGCCAGGCCUGAGGACACAGAAAGAGAAUGGGUUUACAGCCUCAAGAAGUAGAGGCAGAGGGAGGACCAGAUGUGGCUUUCAUUGGAUUAUUGCAUUAUGUGUGUGUAUAGUUCUCCCACCUAACCUACUUGCUGAUCCACUUAUACACACACACAUGCACACAACAACCUUCCUACCCACUCAUAUACACACACAGGUACACACAUACAUAUACACACACAACUUACCUACCCAUUCAUUUACACACACAUACACACACAUACAACCUUCCUACCCAUCCAUCUACACACACACACACACACACACACACACAACUAACCUACCCAUUCAUUUACACACAUUCACAACCUUCCUAUGCACCUAUACACAUGCAUACACACACUACACACACUACACACACACACACACACACACACACACACACACACACACGAGUGGUGAUAAGAAACAAGGCUCACUUUUCUUUUUUCUUUUUUUUCUUUUUUCUUUUUUUUCGGAGCUGGGGACCGAACCCAGAGCCUUGCGCUUGCUAGGCAAGCGCUCUACCACUGAGCUAAAUCCCCAACCCCAAGGCUCACUUUUCUAUUUUUCUUUCCUACUUUUCUCUUGCUUGACCCCUGGCUUCCACUUCAUUCUCCUCUCUUCUCCUUGACUUUAUUCACAGUUUUUCUUCUUUCUGCAUCUUGUUCCUUCCUGCCUUUCCUCUCCUAGCUGCUCUCCACCUGUAUCUUCACUCUCCCCCCCCCCACCCCCCGGGGCUGGGGACCGAACCCAGGACCUUGCGCUUCCUAGGUAAGCGCUCUACCACUGAGCCAAAUCCCAACCCCUGUAUCUUCACUCUUAAUCAUUUCACAAACCUCCCGUGUGCCAGAGCUGGUUCUAGACAUCGGGACAAAGAAAUGAGGAAAGGUAGUCCUGAUGUUCCGAUUGUCUGUUUCAUCAAGACAGCCCUGGUCUCUCUUGAGACAGUCAAGUAACUGCCAGGUGACAUUACAGGUGCAAGAGUGACACUGUAUGGAAAAGCCUGGAGCAGAGAAUGAAAGCUGAGUGAACACUGCCAGUGGACUAAAGCAUUAAGUUAUCUGAGCCCAGAGAUAUGUGUGUUUUGAUGGGAAGAGAGCAGGUUGUGAAAGAUUCUGUCUGGGUGUUUUUCUUUUCUUCUUAACUUCAAUGAAUGAAUAGUUUAUUAGGCACUAGAAGGAGAAAACUCUUACAAAUGUGCAGCUGCAUGUGCGUACAUGCUCUCCCACACACUGACAUUGAAGUGCCAGGUGGCUCUGAUAAGAGGCGGGAAUUGGCUGGAUACAUUGUAGCAAGUCUGUAUUCCCAGCAUUAGGAAGGCCGAGGCAGGUGGGAUGCAAGUCUGAGGUUAGGCUGUGGGAAGAUCCUGAUUUAGAAAAGGCUGGAAAUGCAACUCUGUGGUAGAGCACUUGCCUAUCACGCCCAAGGCCCUGAGCUAAAUCCUCAGUCCUAGAGACAGAGAGCACCUUCACAGGUUCGCAGUGUGGGAAACUGCCGAGGAACACUGCUGGGGAAGUUUGGGUGGGGGGCAGUGUAUGAAAAGAUGAACUGUCUUCCGGGCAGCCAUCUAGACGCACCAAGGGCUUUUAAGCAGGGAAAUGACAUGGCUGCCUUGCUGUAGUUGGUAAUUAUCACAGAGACCCUCAGCUGGCUAAGGUGCAGAGGACAGGAGACUUCGGAAUUCUCCGCCCCAGAUGAGGCAUCUGUAUCACGUUCCCUCCUUGAUAUUGAUAGGCCCAAUGGUAUUUGUGAAGGAACGGGCGGGAAGACUGUAAGAGACAAGGGGUGGUGGGUGACAAAAGAAAAGCAUCAUUCAGACAAGAACCUACCUCAAUUGUGAUAAUAUAUACACAAGCCCCAUGCAAACUCAAGCCAGAACGAAUCCCUGCAAGAAGAGGGACAUCAACACGGAUGCUUUGCACGCAUGUACGCCUGUACACAGUGUGUGUGCCUGGUGCCUAUGGGGACCAGACCGUCCCUGGGAACUGGAGUUAUGGGUGGUUGCGAACUGUCACGUGGGUGCUGGAAAUCAAACCUGGGUCCUCUGGAAGAGGAACCUGUGCUCACAGGAUUUACUCACUUCUCCACCUCUGGAGUGGAACGGAGAGAUGGAGGAAGCUGGGAGGAAGGCAACGUCUAUCCACUAGGUUACUGCCAAAGAGAGAAAGCCUGAGAGAUGAGCAUCUUACCGCACAGUUCAAAAUGAGUCGCCAGACCAAAGACUCGGGGGCAGAAACCGACUUACUGCAAGCCUCCCCAUCAUGACGCUAUUGGUGUCAGGAAAAUGCUGGCUGGCUGGAGCAUGGUUAGCAGGUAGGCUCAGCUGCCGCUCUGCUUCUGCUGGUCUUCACUGGCGAGCGUCAUGUGUCUUAGAGUUGCAUUCAGCCUGCGUGCUGACAGCAAAGAUCGUCCUUUCUGGGUACUAUCUGAGGCUCCGCUAUCAGAACUUGGCUCUGAGAAAUGAUUUGACUCUUUUAAGGUGUAAAUAAAUACAUACCGAUGGGAGCCAUUUUUGAGCUGUUAUGACUUUCGCGUCAGUGUGAAUGAAAUGCUGGCAACACAGUCUAGAGAAAAGGGAGUGAAGAUGCGUGGGAAGAGUGAGAGAGCCACAGAAAGCAUAGUGGUG
Non-coding RNA from Rattus norvegicus (Norway rat), 10103 nucleotides. NCBI's taxonomy places the organism in Eukaryota, Metazoa, Chordata, Mammalia, Rodentia, Muridae. The record is from RefSeq and is a predicted model, not a curated record.